UACGUAGGGUGCAAGCGUUGUCCGGAAUUAUUGGGCGUAAAGAGCUUGUAGGCGGUUUGUCGCGUCUGCUGUGAAAUUUCGGGGCUCAACCCCGAACUUGCAGUGGGGUACGGGCAGACUAGAGUGUGGUAGGGGAGACUGGAAUUCCUGGUGUAGCGGUGAAAUGCGCAGAUAUCAGGAGGAACACCGAUGGCGAAGGCAGGUCUCUGGGCCAUAACUGACGCUGAGAAGCGAAAGCAUGGGGGAGCGAACAGG
This 255-nucleotide ribosomal RNA is filed under the name uncultured bacterium. Its description in RNAcentral is "partial 16S ribosomal RNA". It matches the Rfam family "Bacterial small subunit ribosomal RNA", at positions 524 to 776 of the family's 1533-position model. The record is from RNAcentral.